RNAcentral lists this ribosomal RNA (498 nucleotides) under uncultured bacterium. Its description in RNAcentral is "partial 16S ribosomal RNA". It matches the Rfam family "Bacterial small subunit ribosomal RNA", at positions 30 to 523 of the family's 1533-position model. The record is from RNAcentral.
AUUGAACGCUGGCGGCAUGCCUUACACAUGCAAGUCGAACGGUAACAGGUCUUCGGAUGCUGACGAGUGGCGAACGGGUGAGUAAUACAUCGGAACGUGCCCGAUCGUGGGGGAUAACGAAGCGAAAGCUUUGCCAAUACCGCAUACGAUCUACGGAUGAAAGCAGGGGAACGCAAGGCCUUGCGCGAACGGAGCGGCCGAUGGCAGAUUAGGUAGUUGGUGGGAUAAAAGCUUACCAAGCCGACGAUCUGUAGCUGGUCUGAGAGGACGACCAGCCACACUGGGACUGAGACACGGCCCAGACUCCUACGGGAGGCAGCAGUGGGGAAUUUUGGACAAUGGGCGAAAGCCUGAUCCAGCCAUGCCGCGUGCAGGAUGAAGGCCUUCGGGUUGUAAACUGCUUUUGUACGGAACGAAAAGACUCUGGUUAAUACCUGGGGUCCAUGACGGUACCGUAAGAAUAAGCACCGGCUAACUACGUGCCAGCCGCCGCCGUAA